This 223-nucleotide unclassified non-coding RNA is filed under the name rhizosphere metagenome. Its description in RNAcentral is "partial ribosomal RNA internal transcribed spacer region". The record is from RNAcentral.
GUAGGUGAACCUGCGGAAGGAUCAUUAAAGAAUCGCCCGUUUUUUGAAAUGGGUUCUAUUCCCAAACCGUGUAUACAUACCUUUGUUGCUUUGGCAGGCCGCCUCUCGAGGCGUCGGCUUCGGCUGACUGCGCCUGCCAGAGGACCCAAACUCGUUUGUUUAGUGAUGUCUGAGUACUAUAUCUUAAUAGUUAAAACUUUCAACAACGGAUCUCUUGGUUCUA